This 460-nucleotide ribosomal RNA is filed under the name uncultured bacterium. RNAcentral's name for it is "partial 16S ribosomal RNA". It matches the Rfam family "Bacterial small subunit ribosomal RNA", at positions 338 to 795 of the family's 1533-position model. The record is from RNAcentral.
CCUACGGGAGGCAGCAGUGAGGAAUAUUGGUCAAUGGGCGGAAGCCUGAACCAGCCAAGUCGCGUGAGGGAUUAAGGCCCUGCGGGUCGUAAACCUCUUUUGCCGGGGAGCAGAGGUCCGGACGUGUCCGGGCCGGGAGAGUACCCGGAGAAAAAGCAUCGGCUAACUCCGUGCCAGCAGCGUCGGUAAUACGGAGGAUGCGAGCGUUAUCAGGAUUUAUUGGGUUUAAAGGGUGCGUAGGCGGGCAUAUAAGCCGGCGGUCAAAUGUCGGGGGUCAACCCCGGCCUGCCUUCGGAACUGGGUGCCUUGAGUGGGCGAGAAGUAUGCGGAAUGCGUGGUGUAGCGGUGAAAUGCAUAGAUAUCACGCAGAACCCCGAUUGCGAAGGCAGCAUACCGGCGCCCUACUGACGCUGAGGCACGAAAGUGCGGGUAUCGAACAGGAUUAGAUACCCCAGUAGUC